This is a small nucleolar RNA of Cynara cardunculus var. scolymus (artichoke), 106 nucleotides long. Lineage: Eukaryota; Viridiplantae; Streptophyta; Magnoliopsida; Asterales; Asteraceae. The record is from RefSeq and is a predicted model, not a curated record.
AUGCCAUGAUGUGGGCAUUUCUUAGUAAUUCCUUGUACAUCUCCCAAGCAUCAGGUACUGAUUCAUCAUCCACUUGUCUAAAAAGACAAAUUUCAUUUCUGAACUU